CCCGGCCACGGCGCCGCCCCUGUUCUCCCGGCCCCGCUCCACCGGGGCUGACGGACUGACGGCCAGCACAGCCGGCUCCGGGAUGAGCGCACGGACGGUAUUCUGAAGUCUCAGGAAACUGGACCAUUUAAAUGUGCAUGGCCCAUGAGAAAGGCAUAUAAGAAGCCAUGGCACUCCCCUUUCAAAAAGAGCUGGAGAAAUACAAGAACAUUGAUGAAGAUGAGCUUCUUGGCAAACUCUCAGAAGAGGAACUGAAACAGUUGGAAAAUGUUCUAGAUGACCUAGAUCCCGAGGUUAGUGACAUGGAACUGAAGCAGAGUGGUUAAUGAUAGUAUGGAUAAAUGGCAUGGCCUGGUCCUUAAACAGUGGUAGAAAUCCCUUAGCUCUUAAUGCACAUUUUCUUUUCUUCUCUGAUUGGUUCUGGGUCACCUGUGUUUACAAAUUCAUAGAGAACCUCAUAGCCAAAUACAGUGUGAUACAGCAAAUGUAUUUCUCAAAAACCAGCCCAACGUAAAUGGGGGGAAAUAUUUUCUGUUGGUUGAGAAAGGACUAGUCUGGUUUAAGGGAAAAAGAAGGAAAGAGGAAAAGAAAGCAAAUCUUACUGAGUUUUUUCUGAGUCAUAUAUUUCUCUGGGCACAGAAGCCCUUGAGGUAAAACUUUAUUAACCCCUAGACAUGGAGAGGUAAUUUAUAUAAGAUUCCACACUGGUAAGUGUCAGAGAUGGUAUUUAAACCAGGUUUUUAGCCCCAAAUGCAGAAUUUUUUUUUUUUUUUUUUUUUUUUUUGAGACAGUCUCACCUCUGUCACCCAGCCGAGAUCACGCCACUGCACUCUAGCCUGGGCGACAGAGGGAGAAUCUGUCUCAAAAAAAAAAAAAAAAAGAAAUAUUAAAGUAUAUUUUAACCUUUGAAAUGGAUUAAUAUGUGUCUAAAAUAUCUUAGACAACCAAAUCAUGAAACAUUUUGUGUUUGACACCAGAAUGUGAAAAAAAUAGCCAGCCAGGUGUGGUAACAUAUACCUCUGGUCCCAGCUACUUAGGAGGCUGAGGUGAGACAAUUGCUGGAGCCCAGGAGUUCUAGGCUGCAGUAAGCUAUGUUUGCACCUCUGCACUCCAGUCUGGGCAAUACAACGAGAUGAUAGAUAGAGAGAGAGAUAGAGAGAGAGAGAGAGAGAGAGAGAGAGAGAGAGAGAGAGAAAAGAAAAAUAGCCAACUAAAAGUUCUAUUCUUCCUAUGCAUUUUAGAUAAUUUAGCCAAAUAAGGAAGCCCCUUGACCCAGGUAAAUACUUAUACCAUCACUAUCAUGAUUUUUAUUCUUCCUAUCAAUAGCCAAUUAGUAACUCCUCCUAUUAAUAGCUACUUUAUUGAGGAAUUAGUAAAUGCCAGCACUGAUCUUUGUGCUUUCCAUGCAGCAUCUCAUCCAUUUGUCACUGUAAUACUAUGAGGUGUAUACUAUUAUUAGUUCCAACUUUAACAAAUGAGAAAACAGACUCAGAGAGGUUAAGUAAGCUAUCCAAGGUAAUACAACCAGUAAAUGGCAAAGCCAGAAUUCACUACCAAGUCUUUCUGGUUCUACAACCAGGAAGCUUAACCAUCAAGCUAUGCUAGAUUUACACACAAUGCCUGGCUGUCAUACAUUUGCUAAAAUAUGUCACUUAUCAAAAGCCUGGGCAUCAGCCUGUUGUUCUAUGGCAUUUAAUGCUCAGCCCUUGAAUCAAGUUAGAAAAACGAAAGUUGUCUGGACUUGAUGGUUUGAUUUAAAGUAACGUGUCUUUUGGAAGAUCUAAAAUAGCAUUUAAAACAGAUGACAUGAAAGUAAUGACUACCUAUCAUGGUCCUGGCACAGAAUAGAUGUUUGAAAAGUACUUGUUAAAUAAACGAAUGAUCAUAACCUCCAACCUCUAGCAAUAGAGAAUAUUUCUAUGGUGAUCACAGCAAACUUGAAAUAAGCACUCAUGUAAAAGAGGAACCAGGCUACAAAAAUCAGUGUUUUUACCAGCAGUUAUUACAUAUCUAAAUUUGUAGAUUUAAAGCAGUUUUGAAUUUGAAACCUAUCGUUAAAAUAGAAAGAUGGCAGAACUAGAUAAUUGGUAAGGUGAAAUGAGCAGUUUAAGGAUUCUUAUCUCUGUAUGAUUUUGUACUAUUUCUGCCUUUUAGUAGAUUUUUUUCAGUAAAGCAAAAAUAUUCACAAUAUACUUUGUAUGUAAAUGAAUAAAGGGAUAAAGAAAUGAUUUGUCACUUCUGUUUAAUAUAUUAUUUUGAGUAAAAUUGCAGGGGUGGGGUUAGUUCACAAUCAACUCUCAACACUACUGGUAAAUAAUCUAACUCCUAUUCUAGACCAAAUAGAUAACUUACUAAGUGGAUUAAAUAAAUUCCAAAUAA
RNAcentral lists this small RNA (2379 nucleotides) under Pongo abelii (Sumatran orangutan). RNAcentral describes it as "retained intron". Lineage: Eukaryota; Metazoa; Chordata; Mammalia; Primates; Hominidae. The record is from RNAcentral.